Mercenaria mercenaria is the source of this 3980-nucleotide long non-coding RNA. RefSeq lists it as uncharacterized. The record is from RefSeq and is a predicted model, not a curated record. Lineage: Eukaryota; Metazoa; Mollusca; Bivalvia; Venerida; Veneridae. The transcript has 4 exons.
CAAAAUAAAAUGUAAAUUUCAGCAUAUUUUUCACACAAAAAUGUGUUAGUGCGUAGAAAUGUGAUCAGGCUGAGCACAUGGUCUUAUGGAUUUCAUAAUUUCCGGCGCUUAACGUGAAAACAGUUAAAGCACAGGAUUCACAAACAUUAAAUUUAUGCUUAAAUCUAUAUGCGAUACGUUAUGCAUAUAAUUAUAAUUCACGAUAAUAUCGCAUAUGGAAGUAACUGGAAUAAAUUUGGACUAUUUCCUUCGGAAGUUUACAUGACUGUCCUGUCAAAAGGCCUCCCUCGUGUUUACAUAUUUUGACAGGUCGAGUUGUUCUGGGACUAGGAACAAUGGAAAGUGCAAAGUUAUAUAGAUCUAUAUAAAUUAAUUAUUUUUGCAAAGUGUUCAAAGUAAGGUUGAUAAUCAGUCGACUCUAUUUCAAGAUCUGAGAAUGAUUUGCCUAUUUUUGGGCGGAGAACAUAGCAUAUGCAUAUGUAUCACUGCCACCAUAGAUUAUCAUUAGCUGCAGAUAAGAUCCACUGGAUCUUGAAAUAGAGUCGAUGCAGAAUUAACGCAUUAUUUCAUAGAUAGUGAAUCGAUCAGAAUAGACAGAAUAGAUCAUUGUCAUAGAAAAAGCGUUGAUGUACUUUUUGCAUUCGAAUUGACAUAAUUUGAACAUAGACUCUGCAUUUAUGCCAUAAAACACGUCUGAUUGGACGUGCUGAAUCAUCCGGUAAAAACCAUCAAUAUUUCUAAAGUAACAUUAAUUAGAAUCAAGAUCUGAUGUGCAUUUAAUCCGUCAUGUGUUUGUUUCAGAUGAAUGAAAACCUGCACCAUGGAAACAAUGUCAUUUGCAAACAUUUUAAACCUGUGCUGGGCGUUCACAUUGACAUUUUUUGUUCAACAGGAAUACAUGAUGUCGACCAACAGUACAGCUAGAUGAAGAUAUAAAUUUAUUCAAAGAAAUAAUGGGACAAUGAAUGUUAAAAUUACCAAGAAGAAUACUGCCAAUUUACACAUCAUUUUAUAUAGUUACAGUAUGAUAUGGUGAACAAAAAGCCCUCAAUGCAGCCAGUUCUGGAGCUUUGGCUAGACUGUGAACAGUAGACAUCAAAAGAUGAUCAUCUGAAGGGCCACAAUUGUUUAAAGCACUGGUCAACAAAAUCUGAACUAUUUGAUGGAUCAUACAUGUGUAGAAUGUACUACCAUAUUUCCAGAAUCAGACAAAUAGAAAUAUCAAGUAUUAGAGAGAAAAAAAAAGUAUGCAUCAUGUAUGAAGAACUGCCUAAGAAUGAUUUGAAAAUUCAUUAGAAAUCUAACAAUUGCUUAUUGCAUAAUGCAUUUGGAAGUUAAGACAGGUGUACUCUUCAGGAAAAUAUGUGUCCAGUGCAACAUUUCUUUUUCAAUUUUGUGAGCAUAAUUCUACAUAAAAAUUGUUACAUGGCUACAGGGAUAAUAUAAAAGGUUUGAUCUUAUUUCCAAACAUAUUGGGUGAAUCAGAGAAGAAAUAUCAAGAAUUAGGGAACAAGAAAUAAUUGUCAUGAAUGAAGAACUUGCCUUUUAUUAAUUUACAGAAUACUUUUUAGCCUCACAACUGUUAAUGAUAUUAUGAAUAUGGAAGUUAAAAGUGUGGACUUCGAUUAAUCUUCAACUUCUCUGAGCAUAGUUCUACAUAAAAAUAGUAACUUUAUAAAAUUGUCUUGAAAAAAAGUGUAAGACUUUCAUACUUGUUUUAUAGAAAAUGUUUCUGGAUGUUUCAAUGUAAGUUUGCUAGACCCAGACCCCUAGCUCCUAAGUCAAGGUUGCACUUAGAUUUCAAAGGUUAAAAGGGUCUGUUUCUGUCUGGUCAAUAACUGCCAUACAUAAAGGGAUUUUGGAAUUACUCGGUAUAAAUGUUCACCAUAAAGAGACAACGUGUUAUGCGCAAGACCCAAACGCUUGUUCCAAGGUCAAGGUCACACUUAGCGGUCAAAGGUUAAUAGAGUCUUUUUGGUGUCUGUUCAAUAACUCUGCGAUCCAUUAAGGGACUUUUAGAUAACUUCGCAUAAAUGUUCACCAUAAUGAAACGAGGUGUCAUGCCCAAGACCAAGACCCCUAGCUCGAAGGUCACACUUAGAGGCCAAAGGUCAGAUACUUUGUCCAGAGCAUUUCUUGUUCAUGCAUGGAGGGAUUUUGAUGUACAAUGGCAAAACUGUUUAUCUUCAUGAGAUGGUGUGUCAUGAGUAAGAACCAGGCCCCUAAUCCUUUGCUGUUACUAUAAAUAGCUAUUACUGUAAAGUUCUAUUCUAUUAACCCUUAUCAUGCUGAACAUGAUUUAUUCGUCUUUGCGACCAGUGUAGAUCAUGAUCAGCCUGCACAUCCAUGCAGUCUGAUGUUGAUCAGCACUUUUCGCCAUUCAAUCAGUAUAUUUUUUAUCCCUUUUAACAGUUAAUGGUACUGUCCAAAUUGAAAAAUGGACAAGUUCAUUUUAAGGUACCUCUUCCUGGUAAGGAGUUUUUUGUGGACUUAAAAAUUCAAUACUUACUUUCCUUUGUUGCUAUAAAACGAUUAUUCUUGAAACUUUUUAUCCUGGUUGUUAGAAUUGGAUAUGUCAUUGUUUUGGCUUUUUGUCUACCAAACUUAUAGUUUUGUACAGAAAAUGUUUUAUUAUAUCAUCUACCUGACAAGCAUAUAUUUAACAUCCUGGCACUCUUGUUUUAUUUUGUUUAUGACAUAUAGCAUGGCCUAGUGGACUUCUACAAAAUUUGUUCAGAUCAUGACCCCCGGGGGUCACUUUAUUUUACGUAGGAAAAUCUUCAAAAAUUUUCUAAAAAUAAACCAGAAGGUCUACAACUUAGAUAUUUCACAUGUAGCAUUGCCUAGUAGACUUCUACAAAAUUUGUUCAAAUCAUGACCCCUGGGGUCAACAUGACCCGGCCCCAGGGGUUACCUGAUUUUACAUAGGAAAAUCUUCAAAAAUUUUCUAAAAAUAAACCAGAAGGCCUAGAUCUAUUGCCUAGCAGACUUCUACAAAAUUUGUUCAAAUCAUUACCUCCGGGGUCAAACUGACCCCGCCCCAUGGGGUUACUUGAUUGUACAUAAAAAAAAAUUCAAAAAUUUUCUAAAAAUAAACCAGAAGGCCUAGAGCUUAGGUAUUUCACAUGUAGCAUUGCCUAGUAGACCUCUACAAAUCAUGACCCCUGGGAUCAAAAUUGACCCUGCCCCAGGGUGUCACUUGAUUUUACAUAGGAAAAUCUACAAAAAAUUUCUAAAAAUACACCAGAAGACCUAGAGCUUAGAUACAUUACAUGUAGCAUUGCUUAGUGGACCUCUACAAAUUGUUUAAAUCAUGACACCUUGGGUCAAAAAUGAUCCCGCCCCAGGGGUCACUUGAUUUUCUUUUUCUUUUUGGUUAAAUUUCUUCAAUUUCUUGUCUUUAAGUGCAAUGAUAACAGGUGAGCGAUAUAGGGCCAUUAUGGCCCUCUUGUUCUGGAGUUGUUGCCCUAUUUGAUCUUGAACUAAUUCAUCACAUCUGAACUCGUGAUCUUAAGUCGAACAGAUCCAUCCAACUGAAUUGAAACUAGGUAUACAUCAGAAGCAUGAAAUGCAUAUGUACAUGUUGCCCUGAUUUUUAUGAUCGAUUAUUCUGUCUGGAGUUGUGGCCCUUCUUUAACGACGAAUGACAACUACAUUGUAGUUUCCUUCUCUUCAUUUCAAAUAAAACUUGUUAAGCAUCAUAAACAGUAUGUAGACAUGCGCAUUUAUAUCAUUAUUGACCCGUCGUUAUUAUAGAUUAUUGAAUGAAACAUUUUUGUCGACAUCAUUCUAGUUCGCUUUGCAACCUCCGUGAAGGAAUAUUGUCAAAGUAUACCAAUAAGGGGUAGAGUUUGCUUUCUUUUGUAGCAAAACUUUCUAUUCUAUGCAUAAUUGUGUCUUGCUCAUAUACACAACACUUUGACUUGUGUGAACAUGCAUGAAUUUGUUAUACUGCAAAAUAAAACAAUCAUCAUUGAUUA